Molecule: unclassified non-coding RNA, 200 nt
Filed under: Helotiales sp.
Lineage: Eukaryota; Fungi; Ascomycota; Leotiomycetes; Helotiales
Description: partial internal transcribed spacer 2
Source: RNAcentral
UUAAGUUCAGCGGGUAUCCCUACCUGAUCCGAGGUCAACCAUAGAAAAUUGGGGGGUUAAUGGCGAGCGUCCACCAGGACUCCAUAGCGAGAAGAAUUACUACGCUUAGAGCCAGGUGGCACCGCCACUGAUUUAAGGGCUGCCAGUGCGGCAGGCCCCAACACCAAGCUGAGCUUGAGGGGUUAUAAUGACGCUCGAAC